Molecule: ribosomal RNA, 253 nt
Filed under: uncultured bacterium
Lineage: Bacteria
Description: partial 16S ribosomal RNA
Rfam family: Bacterial small subunit ribosomal RNA
Source: RNAcentral
UACAGAGGUCUCAAGCGUUGUUCGGAUUCAUUGGGCGUAAAGGGUGCGUAGGCGGCGCGGUAAGUCGGGUGUGAAAUCUCGGAGCUUAACUCCGAAACUGCAUUCGAUACUGCCGUGCUUGAGGACUGGAGAGGAGACUGGAAUUUACGGUGUAGCGGUGAAAUGCGUAGAUAUCGGGAGGAACACCUGUGGCGAAAGCGGCGCACUGGACCACAACUGACGCUGAGGCGCGAAAGCUAGGGGAGCAAACAGG